CAAUUAAAUCAAUAACUUACGUUGAUUUAUUGAUAUCGUCGGAGUCGGGUUUCUGGUAACAGGAACGUAGUUAAAACUCUCUAAUUGACGGGAAGUUUCUGUAAUCGGACUACACACCAACUCAUCGUGGUGACACAGAUGAGGGCCAGCGUAAUGAACUGGGUAGGGUAAAAGAGGUAGGACGGGAAUAAUCCGCAGCGAAGCAUCUCAACAAGAACGUUCACCUGUUUAGGAAUCCACGAAUGUUCGUUAAGAUGUGUGCUCACAGACUAUCGAAAGACGCGAUGUCGAGUAGAGUAGGCUCUGUUAAACACAGACCAAAACGGGAGACUCCUCGCAACGAGGAUGAAGAUAUAGUCGAUAAUUACGUGCACCGA
This 377-nucleotide non-coding RNA is filed under the name Escherichia phage vB_EcoM_Goslar. Lineage: Duplodnaviria; Heunggongvirae; Uroviricota; Caudoviricetes; Chimalliviridae. The record is from RNAcentral.